Molecule: small nucleolar RNA, 294 nt
Organism: Cololabis saira (Pacific saury)
Lineage: Eukaryota; Metazoa; Chordata; Actinopteri; Beloniformes; Belonidae
Source: RefSeq, a predicted model, not a curated record
GCCCUGUGAUGAGACCAAGGCGAAUGCAAGCUCACUGAAUGAGAGUAGGUUCUUCUUGCCAUGACUGGCAGGUAAUCUUGGCAGUGCAGGGGAGGAUUCCUGCUCUGCUGUAAGGGCCUGCCGACAGUGACUUAGCUCAACCCAAAUUACUCCUUUUUAAAGUUACAGAGGACUAAUCAUGGGGAAGAUGCUGACAGUGUGUUUGUUUGUGUGUGUGUAAUAGGCAAGAAGAUCUACCCUGCUCUCGUUGCUAUUCAGUGAGCUAUGAGCUGUUUCUUUGGUAAUCUGAGGGCC